GACGAACGCUGGCGGCGUGCCUAAUACAUGCAAGUAGAACGCUGAAGAGAGGAGCUUACUCUUCUUGGAUGAGUUGCGAACGGGUGAGUAACGCGUAGGUAACCUGCCUUGUAGCGGGGGAUAACUAUUGGAAACGAUAGCUAAUACCGCAUAACAAUGGAUGACACAUGUCAUUUAUUUGAAAGGGGCAAUUGCUCCACUACAAGAUGGACCUGCGUUGUAUUAGCUAGUAGGUGAGGUAAUGGCUCACCUAGGCGACGAUACAUAGCCGACCUGAGAGGGUGAUCGGCCACACUGGGACUGAGACACGGCCCAGGCUCCUACGGGAGGCAGCAGGAGGGAAUCUUCGGCAAUGGGGGCAACCCUGACCGAGCAACGCCGAGUGAGUGAAGAAGGUUUUCGGAUCGUAAAGCUCUGUUGUAAGUCAAGAAAGGGUGUGAGAGUGGAAAGUUCACACUGUGACGGUAGCUUACCAGAAAGGGACGGCUAACUACGUG
This 497-nucleotide ribosomal RNA is filed under the name uncultured bacterium. RNAcentral describes it as "partial 16S ribosomal RNA". It matches the Rfam family "Bacterial small subunit ribosomal RNA", at positions 28 to 507 of the family's 1533-position model. The record is from RNAcentral.